This 468-nucleotide ribosomal RNA is filed under the name uncultured bacterium. RNAcentral describes it as "partial 16S ribosomal RNA". It matches the Rfam family "Bacterial small subunit ribosomal RNA", at positions 28 to 507 of the family's 1533-position model. The record is from RNAcentral.
GACGAACGCUGGCGGCGUGCUUAACACAUGCAAGUCGAACGGAAAGGCCCUGCUUUUGUGGGGUGCUCGAGUGGCGAACGGGUGAGUAACACGUGAGUAACCUGCCCUUGACUUUGGGAUAACUUCAGGAAACUGGGGCUAAUAUCGGAUAGGAGCUCCUGCUGCAUGAUGGGGGUUGGAAAGUUUCGGCGGUUGGGGAUGGACUCGCGGCUUAUCAGCUUGUUGGUGGGGUAGUGGCUUACCAAGGCUUAGACGGGUAGCCGGCCUGAGAGGGUGACCGGCCACAUUGGGACUGAGAUACGGCCCAGACUCCUACGGGAGGCAGCAGUGGGGAAUAUUGCACAAUGGGCGGAAGCCUGAGGCAGCAACGCCGCGUGCGGGAUGACGGCCUUCGGGUUGUAAACCGCUUUCGCCUGUGACGAAGCGUGAGUGACGGUAAUGGGUAAAGAAGCACCGGCUAACUACGUG